CGCCUCUUGCAAAACCAAAGAAUAAGAGGUCCCGCCUGCCCGGUGACUAUAUGUUUAACGGCCGCGGUAUUUUGACCGUGCGAAGGUAGCGUAAUCACUUGUCUUUUAAAUGGAGACCUGUAUGAAUGGCAUAACGAGGGCUUAACUGUCUCCUCUUUCCAGUCAAUGAAAUUGAUCUCCCCGUGCAGAAGCGGGGAUAAAAACAUAAGACGAGAAGACCCUAUGGAGCUUUAGACACCAAGACAGACCAUGUUAAGUACCCCUAAACAAAGACCCGAACUUAGUGGCAUCCUGUCCCAAUGUCUUCGGUUGGGGCGACCAUGGGGUAGCACAAAACCCCCAUGCGGAAUGGGAGAACAAGCCCAACACUCUUUUCCCAUACUCCCACAGACAAGAGCUACAUCUCUAAUCAACCAGAAUCUCUGACCUUUCAUGAUCCGGCCUUAGCCGAUCAACGGACCAAGUUACCCUAGGGAUAACAGCGCAAUCCCCUUUUAGAGCCCAUAUCGACAAGGGGGUUUACGACCUCGAUGUUGGAUCAGGACAUCCUAAUGGUGCAGCCGCUAUUAAGGGUUCGUUUGUUCAACGAUUAAAGUCCU
RNAcentral lists this ribosomal RNA (599 nucleotides) under Selaroides leptolepis (yellowstripe scad). RNAcentral describes it as "partial 16S ribosomal RNA". It matches the Rfam family "Bacterial large subunit ribosomal RNA", at positions 1817 to 2597 of the family's 2925-position model. Lineage: Eukaryota; Metazoa; Chordata; Actinopteri; Carangiformes; Carangidae. The record is from RNAcentral.